UAGAGUUUGAUCCUGGCUCAGGACGAACGCUGGCGGCGUGCCUAAUACAUGCAAGUCGAGUGGAAAUUUUAUUGGUGCUUGCACCUUUAAAAUUUUAGCGGCGGACGGGUGAGUAACACGUGGGUAACCUACCUUAUAGAUUGGGAUAACUCCGGGAAACCGGGGCUAAUACCGAAUAACACUUUUUAACACAUGUUUUAAAGUUGAAAGACGGUCUUGCUGUCACUAUAAGAUGGACCCGCGGCGCAUUAGCUAGUUGGUGAGGUAACGGCUCACCAAGGCAACGAUGCGUAGCCGACCUGAGAGGGUGAUCGGCCACACUGGGACUGAGACACGGCCCAGACUCCUACGGGAGGCAGCAGUAGGGAAUCUUCCACAAUGGACGAAAGUCUGAUGGAGCAACGCCGCGUGAGUGAAGAAGGAUUUCGGUUCGUAAAACUCUGUUGCAAGGGAAGAACAAGUAGCGUAGUAACUGGCGCUACCUUGACGGUACCUUGUUAGAAAGCCACGGCUAACUACGUGCCAGCAGCCGCGGUAAUACGUAGGUGGCAAGCGUUGUCCGGAAUUAUUGGGCGUAAAGCGCGCGCAGGUGGUUCCUUAAGUCUGAUGUGAAAGCCCCCGGCUCAACCGGGGAGGGUCAUUGGAAACUGGGGAACUUGAGUGCAGAAGAGGAUAGUGGAAUUCCAAGUGUAGCGGUGAAAUGCGUAGAGAUUUGGAGGAACACCAGUGGCGAAGGCG
RNAcentral lists this ribosomal RNA (738 nucleotides) under uncultured bacterium. RNAcentral describes it as "bacterial SSU rRNA". It matches the Rfam family "Bacterial small subunit ribosomal RNA", at positions 1 to 723 of the family's 1533-position model. The record is from RNAcentral.